UACGUAGGGUGCGAGCGUUGUCCGGAAUUAUUGGGCGUAAAGAGCUUGUAGGCGGUUUGUCGCGUCUGCUGUGAAAAUCCGGGGCUCAACCCCGGACUUGCAGUGGGUACGGGCAGACUAGAGUGUGGUAGGGGAGACUGGAAUUCCUGGUGUAGCGGUGUAAAUGCGCAGGAUAAUCAGGAGGAACACCGAUGGCGAAGGCAGGUCUCUGGGCCAUAACUGACGCUGAGAAGCGAAAGCAUGGGGAGCGAACAGG
RNAcentral lists this ribosomal RNA (256 nucleotides) under uncultured bacterium. Its description in RNAcentral is "partial 16S ribosomal RNA". It matches the Rfam family "Bacterial small subunit ribosomal RNA", at positions 524 to 776 of the family's 1533-position model. The record is from RNAcentral.